RNAcentral lists this long non-coding RNA (357 nucleotides) under Anas platyrhynchos platyrhynchos (common mallard). RNAcentral's name for it is "lncRNA (ENSAPLG00000030674.1)". The record is from RNAcentral. Lineage: Eukaryota; Metazoa; Chordata; Aves; Anseriformes; Anatidae.
AUAUCACCAUUCAAGGUGGCAGGGGAAGGAAAAACAUGGAAUGAAAGAAUGGAAUGAAAGAACCAGAGGCAUGUUUUCUCAUGAAACCUACCCUUCAAGCUUCAGAAAGAAUGUCCUAAGGAUGUCAAGCCAACUGAAGCCAGCUAAUCCCAUCAAACUUAAAUGGGCAACCAACAGCCAGCAUACCAGAGAGUUUCAGAUGAGCCACGUGUGCUAUUUGUUUCCUCCUGUCAGCUGCUCUGUCCUUCAUCACAGACCUCCACUGGAUGUGAUGACUUCUUGAAAGCAACUGCAUUUGAGAAACAAGCCAUCAAUCUCUCUGUCAACUCAAGUGAAAUAAAUUCAGGAUCUGAGACA